GAUCAUGGCUCAGGAUGAACGCUAGCUACAGGCUUAACACAUGCAAGUCGAGGGGCAGCAGGAUCUUAGCUUGCUAAGAUUGCUGGCGACCGGCGCACGGGUGAGUAACGCGUAUCCAACCUUCCCCUUAGUAGGGCAUAGCCCGUAGAAAUGCGGAUUAAUACCCUAUGUUAUUCGUCGAGGACAUCUGAAGUGAAUCAAAGGUUUACCGCUAAGGGAUGGGGAUGCGUCCGAUUAGGCAGCAGGCGGGGUAACGGCCCACCUGGCCAACGAUCGGUAGGGGUUCUGAGAGGAAGGUCCCCCACAUUGGAACUGAGACACGGUCCAAACUCCUACGGGAGGCAGCAGUGAGGAAUAUUGGUCAAUGGGCGCGAGCCUGAACCAGCCAAGUGGCGUGCAGGAUGACCGGCCCUAUGGGUUAGUAAACUGCUUUUAUGCGGGGAUAAAGUCACCCACGUGUGGGUGUUUGUAGGUACCGCAUGAAUAAGGACCGGCUAAUUCUGUGCCAGCCGCGGC
Molecule: ribosomal RNA, 516 nt
Filed under: uncultured bacterium
Lineage: Bacteria
Description: bacterial SSU rRNA
Rfam family: Bacterial small subunit ribosomal RNA
Source: RNAcentral